CGAAGGAUGCAAGCGUUAUCCGGAUUCACUGGGUUUAAAGGGUGUGCAGGUGGGGUAAUAAGUCAGUGGUGAAAGCCCCCGACUCAAUCGGGGAACUGCCAUAGAUACUGUUAUUCUUGAGUGUGGUUGAGGCAGAUGGAAUAUGACAUGUAGCGGUGAAAUGCUUAGAUAUGUCAUAGAACACCGAUCGCGAAGGCAGUCUGCCAAACCAUUACUGACACUGAAACACGAAAGUGCGGGGAUCAAACAGGAUUAGAUACCCUGGUAGUCCGCACCGUAAACGAUGAUCACUCGUUGUUGGCGAUACACAGUCAGCGACUAAGCGAAAGCAUUAAGUGAUCCACCUGGGAAGUACGACCGCAAGGUUG
This 368-nucleotide ribosomal RNA is filed under the name uncultured organism. RNAcentral describes it as "bacterial SSU rRNA". It matches the Rfam family "Bacterial small subunit ribosomal RNA", at positions 526 to 896 of the family's 1533-position model. The record is from RNAcentral.